Molecule: ribosomal RNA, 497 nt
Filed under: uncultured bacterium
Lineage: Bacteria
Description: partial 16S ribosomal RNA
Rfam family: Bacterial small subunit ribosomal RNA
Source: RNAcentral
UAGGGAAUCUUCGGCAAUGGACGAAAGUCUGACCGAGCAACGCCGCGUGAGUGAAGAAGGUUUUCGGAUCGUAAAACUCUGUUGUUAGAGAAGAACGUUGCAUAGAGUGGAAAAUUAUGCAAGUGACGGUAUCUAACCAGAAAGGGACGGCUAACUACGUGCCAGCAGCCGCGGUAAUACGUAGGUCCCGAGCGUUGUCCGGAUUUAUUGGGCGUAAAGCGAGCGCAGGUGGUUUAAUAAGUCUGAUGUAAAAAGGCAGUGGCUCAACCAUUGUGUGCAUUGGAAACUGUUAGACUUGAGUGCAGUAGAGGAGAGUGGAAUUCCAUGUGUAGCGGUGAAAUACGUAGAUAUAUGGAGGAACACCGGUGGCGAAAGCGGCUCUCUGGACUGUCACUGACACUGAGGCUCGAAAGCGUGGGUAGCAAACAGGAUUAGAUACCCUGGUAGUCCACGCCGUAAACGAUGAGUGCUAGUUGUUUGGGGCUAUCCAGCCCUAA